UUAACUUAUUUAUAAGCUACUCAGAGAUGCCAAAAAAUCAAGAGUUGUAGGACUCCGGCGGGGUACCCGCAAGGGCUAGGCCCCAGAGGGGUCUGCCGCCGAAGAAACUGGUAGGUUCGUUCACAAAGGGUUAGGAGUUUUGCAACUCUGUAAUGAUCCCUCCGCUGGUUCACCAACGGAGA
RNAcentral lists this unclassified non-coding RNA (182 nucleotides) under uncultured fungus. RNAcentral's name for it is "sequence contains ITS1". Lineage: Eukaryota; Fungi. The record is from RNAcentral.